Molecule: ribosomal RNA, 394 nt
Filed under: uncultured bacterium
Lineage: Bacteria
Description: bacterial SSU rRNA
Rfam family: Bacterial small subunit ribosomal RNA
Source: RNAcentral
ACUGAACGCUGGCGGCAUGCCUUACACAUGCAAGUCGAACGGCAGCGGACCUUCGGGUGCCGGCGAGUGGCGAACGGGUGAGUAAUAUAUCGGAACGUACCUUUCAGUGGGGGAUAACGUAGCGAAAGUUACGCUAAUACCGCAUAUUCUGUGAGCAGGAAAGCAGGGGAUCGCAAGACCUUGCGCUGAUUGAGCGGCCGAUAUCAGAUUAGCUAGUUGGUGAGGUAAAGGCUCACCAAGGCGACGAUCUGUAGCGGGUCUGAGAGGAUGAUCCGCCACACUGGAACUGAGACACGGUCCAGACUCCUACGGGAGGCAGCAGUGGGGAAUUUUGGACAAUGGGCGCAAGCCUGAUCCAGCCAUGCCGCGUGGGUGAAGAAGGCCUCGGUUGUAA